GUAAGCAUCAGGCUGGAGAUUCAGGUUGAUUCUAAGGAAGCCAACAGCCGUGUUGUGAGUACCCAAUGGAAAGUCUGUUGUGGCAGAAAACUGAUGUCUCCAGCCAACAGCACUGAGGCCCUGAGACCUGCCAACUGUCAUGAUCUUCCGAUGCCUGGACACAGAAAGAGCAGUGGAAGGGGUCGUUGCAUGAGCAAAGACAAAGAGUGGGACACUGACUGUUACAUCUCAAGGAGAAGGAUUGCCAGAUCAAAAGUCUUGCAGUUAACCAGGCGUGGUGGCAGAUACCUGUAAUCCCAGCUAUUCGGGAGGCUGAGGCAGGAGAAUCGCUUGUACCCGGGAGGCAGAGGUUGCAGUGAGCUGAGACCGCGCCAUUGACUCCUGCCUGAUGACAAGAGAGAAUCUACGUCUCAACAACAACAACACGCUUGGGCACUGUAUUAACUCCAUAAUCAUCUAAAUUUUAUUGGGAACAGCUAGUUUGACAAGCAUAGACCAGAUGUCCAGUUGUCAUUCAUUCAGCAGGAGCAGCAAGAUUCAAUCAUGUUUUUAUUAUAUUAUUUCCUGAAACUUGUGGCUGUAACAAUGAAGUUUGAGGUAGGUACUGUUCACCAAAACAUAGAAGAGAUUCCAAUUGAUGCUCACUACUAAUUAGUGUUCAUUAAAGCAUAACAUACCCUAGAUUGUUUCUCUUGGAUUACUUAUCUGUACUUGUGUAUUCAUUCAUUUGUUCAUUCAUUCACUCAUCCAUCCAACUAUCUAUCUGUCCAUCCAUUUAUUCAUUUUCAAACUAAGUUUUAGGGCUGGCACUGUGAUAAAUGCUAUUCACAGUCAUUAAUCAAUAGUUAUAGUUAUUAUUUAAAAGUGUAUAGAAUAGCAGAAGGUGGAGACAUUUUCAUAUAAGUUAGAAAGUGCUAUAAUUAUCUCUUGGUUUAUGUGUUAUAACUGAGACAGCACAAAGAACAGCUUAUUAACUUUGUCUAAUAAAGUGUAGGUAGUAGUAAAAUUUAAGCUGAGUCUUAGAGAAUAUAUAUGGAUUUUUUAAAGGAAGAAAAACAAUAGCAUAUGCAAAACCUUAAAAGGAAGGAAGGGCUUUAUGAGUUUUGGAAAUAAGGAAAAGAAAAGGAUGAUGAGUUUGGAAGAAUGGUGGGAAACAGGCAUAGAGAGGUGGAUUGAUUUCUGGUUAUGCAGACCUUACUGUAGCAUGUUAAGGAGUUAUAUUUUAUCAAUGAUUCAAUACCUUAUUAAGAGGAAGGAUUUGAUUAGAUUAGUGUUUUAGAAAAAUUAAUUUGCUAGUCAUGAGGGUGAACUACAGUGGGGUAAGAUGAAAGCAGGACAACCAAAUAGGUGGCUUUUAUAAAAGCUUAGGAAACAGAUAGAAAAGCCCAGACUAAGGAAAAUGUAGUAUUGCACUUAAUUUCUCUUAGUCAUUAGGUUUUUCAACAUAAACCAAACCAAAACAAAAUCAUUGCAAAGAAUAGAGCUCUGUUCUUAUAAAGUGUUUCCCUUCAGUUGUGGUCUAAUUAAUUAAUUGUUCCUGAAGUUUAAUUAAAUAGUCAUGGAUAUUUUUAUAAAGGAUGUGGAACAACCAAUUAAAAUAUUCAUCUUGGCCUUUCAAAAUUAAUUAUCCCUUAAAUGCCACAGUCUAACCUAUAUCACAGAUAUUUAAGCAUAAGGGGAAAAAUGUUUGGAUUUGAGUGAAUCAUAGUAUUUAGUCUAUCAUAUUCUCAUAGGGAAAAUGAAAGGUAAUUUGAGAUAUACUACAGAUCAGUGCUAUUCAAUAAAACUAUUGGUGACGAUGGAGGUGUUCUCUGUCGUUACUGUCCAACAUGGCAGUUCUAGCCAUAUGUGGCUAUUGAGCACUUAAAAUGUGCCUAGUACAAUGGGGGACAUGAAUUCUUGAUGUUUUUAAAAUUGUAUUUAAUACAUACAAACUUAAACUGAAAUUUAAAUAAUCACAUGUACCCUAGUGGCUACCUUGUUGAACAGCACAACUCUAUAGACAGUGAAAAAUAUGCAGACUCAGUUGGACAAUCCUGCAAUGUGUGGCUAUAAAGAAGGCAGUGCAGGGCAGAAGAUAUAAAGUAGGGCAGGGGCUCAGGAUGGAAUUUUAUUUCAGCGCAGAUAAUUAAUGAGCUGCAGAUAUGAAUUUGCACAUAAACGUAAGUUCUCUCACUUGUACUAUGAAGUGAUUGGCUGAAUAAUCAUGACUAUCCAUUUAAGCUUCAUGUUUCUAUAGAAGUAAGUGAUUGUCACAGUUCAGCUGAAUAAGAUCUUGUUGGAGAAAAUGGCUUAUUUUCCACACUUUUCUUCAUUUUUAUAAAACUGGUCUAGGUGUAAAUUUGAGAUGCAAAAGUCAAGGAUAUAUAUUUUGAGUAAGUUGAAAAUGCAAAAGCAAAUAUGUACAUUUGCUGAAAGCUAUUUGUUUUCAAUCUAGUAAUUUAUAUACGCCUUACUUUGUAAUUUUCACUUAGUGUCUUUCUUUUACUACAUGUUACCUUCUAUGAUAGGCAGCCUCAAUAUGACUUUCAAUUAUCAUCACUUCCUGAAAUUCAUACCCUUGUUUUGUCUUCUUCCACACAGGAUUGGUCUGUGUAAGUAUGGCAGAAGUGAUGUUAAGUCGCUUAUGAGAUUAGGGUAUAAAAGACUAAGGCUUCCAUGCUUCCAUCUUGGUCUCUGUCUCUCAGAGAACAGUCAUGUGAAUGAUUCUUCUUGAAAGUAAAUCUUCCAGCCCCAGUCCAGUAUUCAAAUGAUCCAGCAACAUUGCAACUUAUGAGAGACCUUGAGCCAUCCAGGUAACAUGCUUCCAAAUCCUGACCCUUAAAACCUGUAAAAUAAUAAAUGUGGUUUUAAACUCUUAAGUAAUUUGUUACAUAGUAAUAAAUAGCUAAUACACCGUCCUGACUAUUGUCAUUCUUUACAAUAUUUCAUAAGCACUAGUCAUUAAACUAUCUGUAGUCCCUAAAAUAUUUAUCAAUCCUUUAAGCCUCUAUAAGUUCACAGAUUUUUAUGUGUAGAUAUUUAUUCCUCUGUCAAAUAUCUAAUGCAAUAUUUUCUCUUUCAAAUUUGGCUAGUGUCCUUUCUAGAGAAUUUUAUGACCUCACCAAUCUGAAUUAAGCACCAUCGCCAUUCCUGGUUUCAUAGAAGCAGAUGCCCAUGUCUAACUUAGCACUAGUCACACUGUUAUGUUCACAAGAUUGUAAGCUACUAAGAUUGGGACCUUAGUUUUAUUAAGUUUACAUAAUGUCAGAUACAUUGCCUAGCAAAAAAGAACUUGCUUAAUUAUUGUUUUUUAAAAUUAAAUACUAACAGAAUGAAUGGUUAAACACCAUUAAAUAAAUAUGUUAGUUCAGAUUAUAUAUUGAUGUAUGGUCAUUAGUUUCCUACAAAAGAGAAAUUUCAUGUUUUUCUAUCUAAAUGUAUAAUGCUCCCUCCAGCCCUACAGACAUACUAUUUUUUUCAAAAGAAUAAAGAGACAUGAACAAUAUAAAUUCAAACUGCAAGACGGUUGUGUCACAUUUCCUGGACUAUGUUGUAGCCUCCGUUUUGUAGCUGCACCUCCAGGAUAACUUGUGAAUCCUUAGGGUCAUGGAAAGAAGCCCAGUAAGUGGAUUUCUUUCUGAACAGGGCUGUCUUUGUUUCAUCAUGGAGCACCUUGUCCUCUUCAUCCAGCAUUAUGAUUUGCUCUUGGCCUUUCUCUGGGACACAAUAUGUGGCUCAUAGUUCUGAAUUAGAGGAG
RNAcentral lists this long non-coding RNA (3739 nucleotides) under Homo sapiens (human). RNAcentral describes it as "HSALNT0179000". Lineage: Eukaryota; Metazoa; Chordata; Mammalia; Primates; Hominidae. The record is from RNAcentral.